This 253-nucleotide ribosomal RNA is filed under the name uncultured bacterium. Its description in RNAcentral is "partial 16S ribosomal RNA". It matches the Rfam family "Bacterial small subunit ribosomal RNA", at positions 524 to 776 of the family's 1533-position model. The record is from RNAcentral.
UACGUAGGGUGCGAGCGUUAAUCGGAAUUACUGGGCGUAAAGCGUGCGCAGGCGGUUUCGUAAGACAGGCGUGAAAUCCCCGGGCUCAAACUGGGAACUGCGCUUGUGACUGCGAGGCUAGAGUGUGUCAGAGGGAGGUGGAAUUCCACGUGUAGCAGUGAAAUGCGUAGAGAUGUGGAGGAACACCGAUGGCGAAGGCAGCCUCCUGGGAUAACACUGACGCUCAUGCACGAAAGCGUGGGGAGCAAACAGG